Bos indicus x Bos taurus (hybrid cattle) is the source of this 658-nucleotide long non-coding RNA. The record is from Ensembl. NCBI's taxonomy places the organism in Eukaryota, Metazoa, Chordata, Mammalia, Artiodactyla, Bovidae.
GCAUUUUAUCUAAAAUCAAGCAACAAAAAUAUUUAUAUUUUUGUACUUAAUUUUUUUUUCAGAAUGUACUGCAGAGAAUGAUUGUCAAUCAUGUAUAAACAGAAAGAAAUGUUUUUGGUGCAGUGAAGAAAAGGCUUGCAAAAAAAUUUGUUUUCCAAAUUCUGAGUGUCCUGUCAGUUGUUCAUUUUGGUUAAACUGUCAAGUUGACAUGUUUGGAUUCCUGAUGCUUCUACUCCUUGCAAUCAUGGUUAUAGCGUUCAUUUGUCAAUUCUGCAUUUAUCAAUAUUACCUACAGAGAACUCAAGUCUAUAUUGGUGGAAGACCACACACAGUUUACAUGCCUCAUGGGGGUGAUCCUGUAUAUAAUGAAUAGAUAACUGAAAAGCUGGAUUGCCCAGAUAGAGAAGAAGGAAGUUUCUUCAAUGGGGAGUCACGGAAUCUCAGCCCUUGGAGGCAAAUAAAGGUCACCCUGCUCAGCUCCUGCUCCAGUGCUAGGACCCUCUUGCCCAUAUCGCUGGCAUGCUGGAUGGUGAGCAGCUGGGGACUGUCACUUGGAUUUAAACAGUUAGUGAUGUGGCUUUGUGUGGUGUGUGUGCAUAUACGCUGUGUGCACACACAGGUGCUUGACUUUGAACAGGAUGAACACACAGGCAUACUC